GACGAACGCUGGCGGCGCGCCUAACACAUGCAAGUCGAACGAGCGAGAGAGAGCUUGCUUUCUCGAGCGAGUGGCGAACGGGUGAGUAACGCGUGAGGAACCUGCCUCAAAGAGGGGGACAACAGUUGGAAACGACUGCUAAUACCGCAUAAGCCCACGACCCGGCAUCGGGUAGAGGGAAAAGGAGCAAUCCGCUUUGAGAUGGCCUCGCGUCCGAUUAGCUAGUUGGUGAGGUAACGGCCCACCAAGGCGACGAUCGGUAGCCGGACUGAGAGGUUGAACGGCCACAUUGGGACUGAGACACGGCGCAGACUCCUACGGGAGGCAGCAGUGGGGAAUAUUGCACAAUGGGGGAAACCCUGAUGCAGCGACGCCGCGUGGAGGAAGAAGGUCUUCGGAUUGUAAACUCCUGUUGUUGAGGAAGAUAAUGACGGUACUCAACAAGGAAGUGACGGCUAACUACGUG
This 466-nucleotide ribosomal RNA is filed under the name uncultured bacterium. RNAcentral describes it as "partial 16S ribosomal RNA". It matches the Rfam family "Bacterial small subunit ribosomal RNA", at positions 28 to 507 of the family's 1533-position model. The record is from RNAcentral.